Molecule: transfer RNA, 89 nt
Filed under: Thermoleophilia bacterium
Lineage: Bacteria; Bacillati; Actinomycetota; Thermoleophilia
Also listed under: 1 other name
Description: tRNA-Ser
Rfam family: tRNA
About the family: Transfer RNA (tRNA) molecules are approximately 80 nucleotides in length. Their secondary structure includes four short double-helical elements and three loops (D, anti-codon, and T loops).
Source: RNAcentral
GGAGAGGUGGCAGAGCGGUUGAAUGCGGCGGUCUCGAAAACCGUUGGGCCGCGCAAGCGGUCCCGGGGGUUCGAAUCCCCCCCUCUCCG